RNAcentral lists this transfer RNA (75 nucleotides) under bacterium. RNAcentral's name for it is "tRNA-Cys". It matches the Rfam family "tRNA". Rfam says of the family: Transfer RNA (tRNA) molecules are approximately 80 nucleotides in length. Their secondary structure includes four short double-helical elements and three loops (D, anti-codon, and T loops). Further hydrogen bonds mediate the characteristic L-shaped molecular structure. tRNAs have two regions of fundamental functional importance: the anti-codon, which is responsible for specific mRNA codon recognition, and the 3' end, to which the tRNAs corresponding amino acid is attached (by aminoacyl-tRNA synthetases). tRNAs cope with the degeneracy of the genetic code in two manners: having more than one tRNA (with a specific anti-codon) for a particular amino acid; and 'wobble' base-pairing, i.e. permitting non-standard base-pairing at the 3rd anti-codon position. The record is from RNAcentral.
GGCACGGUGGCGGAGUGGUUACGCAGCGGUCUGCAAAACCGCUUUACGCCGGUUCGAAUCCGGCCCGUGCCUCAA